Molecule: long non-coding RNA, 543 nt
Organism: Pistacia vera
Lineage: Eukaryota; Viridiplantae; Streptophyta; Magnoliopsida; Sapindales; Anacardiaceae
Exons: 2
Source: RefSeq, a predicted model, not a curated record
CAAUAUAAAAUCCAACCUUAGCAUUUAUCACUUUGAACUCACAGCUACCUUUGCAGGUCUUCUCCGUUUCCUCUUAUCAUGGCUCUCUCAGUCAUCUCAGCUAACCUCAUCAUGCCAAAGGCCAACCUUCAACUCCCCAUUUUCAAGCCACAAAAACAUCCAAAAAACGGCAUCAUAAAAUGUUGUAAACCCCCUCCACCGCCGGUGAAGAAAGGCCCCCCCGGACAAACCAACAGUAAGGAGAAGAAGAUGACUACUACACACAGCAGGGGAAUUUCAAACACUCCUGUUGUAGAAGAAACGUACGAGAAAGGCAAACCAAAACGUGAUGACGGUUCUUCAGAGAAAUCUAUGGCUUAAAAUAGUGGCUAAGCUAAUAAACGUGUGUAUGCAAGUUUAGUUUUCUAACUCCAAAUCUAAAAGAGUUUGGAGCUAGUUAAAUUAGACGUUAAUUUUCUCAGCAGUUAAAUCAUGUUUUGUAAGAUCAGAAAUAAAUUAACCAGUUUUUAUAAAUCUAUGAAGUCCUGGUUCAGUUUUACUUUA